Small nuclear RNA from Prolemur simus (greater bamboo lemur), 193 nucleotides. Its record names the gene U2. It matches the Rfam family "U2 spliceosomal RNA". Rfam says of the family: U2 is a small nuclear RNA (snRNA) component of the spliceosome (involved in pre-mRNA splicing). Complementary binding between U2 snRNA (in an area lying towards the 5' end but 3' to hairpin I) and the branchpoint sequence (BPS) of the intron results the bulging out of an unpaired adenosine, on the BPS, which initiates a nucleophilic attack at the intronic 5' splice site, thus starting the first of two transesterification reactions that mediate splicing. Lineage: Eukaryota; Metazoa; Chordata; Mammalia; Primates; Lemuridae. The record is from Ensembl.
AUUAUUUUUCAGCCUUUUGGCUGAGAUCAAGUGUAGUAUCUGUUCUUAUCAGUUUAAUAUCUGAUAUGUCCUCUAUCCAAGGACAAUAUAGCAAGUGGAGUUUGGAGUUUUGGAGCAGGGAGCUGGAAUAGGAGCUCACUCAGUCAUGCAUCAACCUUAGUAUUGCAGUACCUCCAGGAACUGUGCACCUCCA